This is a long non-coding RNA of Dreissena polymorpha, 1072 nucleotides long. RefSeq lists it as uncharacterized. The record is from RefSeq and is a predicted model, not a curated record. Lineage: Eukaryota; Metazoa; Mollusca; Bivalvia; Myida; Dreissenidae. The transcript is spliced from 4 exons.
UAUGCUAAAUAACCCAAAGUAAUAUAACAAAAUAUCAAACAACAACACUCGAAACUGUGUUGAUAAGAAUAUCGUUUACAGGAAUUAUAUUAUCAGUUAAAUGCGCUUUGGUGUGAAAAUAAUUUAAUGAGCCAAUUCUCUUUCAAGAUAUCGGCGCAUGUGACAUUGAUUUAAAUGGGUAAUAGCACACACUACUGUGUGAUAAACUAGCCGUGUUGCUUUGUCGUAAAAACAACGAACCAUGGUUUUAAUUAAACUAAUAUAUAGUGUUGUAAUAUCUUCAUGCAUCAAUAGUGCAAAUACGCAAAGUACAUUUGCACUGGAGACUACACCUGUAGACCUAACAACUACGGUGAGUUCUCUUUCUUCAGCCGGUGACAUUCGCAUAUCAUUUCAUCCAGAUACGUCGUCCGACCCCACUACAUCGCAGCAGCCGCUUGCAAAGACGCCAUGGGAUACCAUUUUAUCUAUGCCGUGUAUUAUCCCAAUUGCCGCUGGUUGGGGCCUCGUGGUUAUACUUAUUGUGAUACUUGUUAUUUGCGUAAGAAAAAGACAAAAGGAAAACGCAAUGUAUAAAGCAGAGCUGAGGCACGAUUUGCAGAAAACCCCAAGAUUGGAGUCAUAUGAUAAGCUGAAAAGUGGACACUAUUCAAAUGACUUUCUUGAAGACACAUCACGCGGAUAUUCCGAGGUUAAAGAAUUUAAGAUGGCAAGAGAUUUGCGAACGGAAUACGAAACCGUGAACGAGGUGCUGAGUAACAAUGCAGCUUGUUGCGCUCCAGUGUCGUCCAAUGAUAAACUUGACUGUCAACACUAUGUCAACACGUAUUCGAAAGAAACCACACACGGAUAUACUAAUGUCACAAAAUUCAGAAUGAAUGUAAAACAUUGACUCGUGUACCGUACACAAUACUUGUGAAUAUCGACUCUUUCUUGUGUAUGACACAGUCGAAUAUUGAUCGGGCGAAAUGACCGGACGCUCGUAAGGACGUAUGGUAAUUUAAGGUCAUUCUCCAAAAGAAAAAGUGAACAAAAAAAGAAAUGAACUGUAAUAUAAUAAUUGUCAUCAUUU